This 537-nucleotide ribosomal RNA is filed under the name Schizodon knerii. RNAcentral's name for it is "partial small subunit ribosomal RNA". It matches the Rfam family "Bacterial small subunit ribosomal RNA", at positions 657 to 1402 of the family's 1533-position model. The record is from RNAcentral. Lineage: Eukaryota; Metazoa; Chordata; Actinopteri; Characiformes; Anostomidae.
UAAAGCUAAAGACCUUCUAAGCUGUUAUACGCACACCGAAGGCAUGAAGCCCUAAUACGAAAGUAGCUUUACUAUUAUACCUGACGCCACGAAAGCUAAGAAACAAACUGGGAUUAGAUACCCCACUAUGCUUAGCCUUAAACCCAAAUGUUUAAACUUACAAACAACAUUCGCCAGGGGACUACGAGCGCUAGCUUAAAACCCAAAGGACUUGACGGUGUCUCAGACCCACCUAGAGGAGCCUGUUCUAGAACCGAUAAUCCCCGUUCAACCUCACCACCCCUUGCUUUUCCCGCCUAUAUACCGCCGUCGCAAGCUUACCCUGUGAAGGAUCUACAGUAAGCAAAAUGGGUAUUACCCAAAACGUCAGGUCGAGGUGUAGCUCACGAGGUGGAAAGAAAUGGGCUACAUUUUCUCCAACAGAAUAUUACGGACAACACUAUGAAACUGGUGUUUAAAGGUGGAUUUAGUAGUAAAAAACAAAUAGAGUGUGUUUUUGAACCAGGCUCUGAGACGCGCACACACCGCCCGUCACUC